This 497-nucleotide ribosomal RNA is filed under the name uncultured bacterium. RNAcentral's name for it is "partial 16S ribosomal RNA". It matches the Rfam family "Bacterial small subunit ribosomal RNA", at positions 28 to 507 of the family's 1533-position model. The record is from RNAcentral.
GACGAACGCUGGCGGCGUGCCUAAUACAUGCAAGUAGAACGCUGAAGAGAGGAGCUUACUCUUCUUGGAUGAGUUGCGAACGGGUGAGUAACGCGUAGGUAACCUGCCUUGUAGCGGGGGAUAACUAUUGGAAACGAUAGCUAGUACCGCAUAACAAUGGAUGACACAUGUCAUUUAUUUGAAAGGGGCAAUUGCUCCACUACAAGAUGGACCUGCGUUGUAUUAGCUAGUAGGUGAGGUAAUGGCUCACCUAGGCGACGAUACAUAGCCGACCUGAGAGGGUGAUCGGCCACACUGGGACUGAGACACGGCCCAGACUCCUACGGGAGGCAGCAGUAGGGAAUCUUCGGCAAUGGGGGCAACCCUGACCGAGCAACGCCGCGUGAGUGAAGAAGGUUUUCGGAUCGUAAAGCUCUGUUGUAAGUCAAGAACGGGUGUGAGAGUGGAAAGUUCACACUGUGACGGUAGCUUACCAGAAAGGGACGGCUAACUACGUG